This 253-nucleotide ribosomal RNA is filed under the name uncultured bacterium. RNAcentral describes it as "partial 16S ribosomal RNA". It matches the Rfam family "Bacterial small subunit ribosomal RNA", at positions 524 to 776 of the family's 1533-position model. The record is from RNAcentral.
UACGGAGGGGGCUAGCGUUGUUCGGAAUUACUGGGCGUAAAGCGCACGUAGGCGGCUUUGUAAGUUAGAGGUGAAAGCCCGGGGCUCAACUCCGGAAUUGCCUUUAAGACUGCAUCGCUAGAAUUGUGGAGAGGUAAGUGGAAUUCCGAGUGUAGAGGUGAAAUUCGAAGAUAUUGGGAAGAACACCGGUGGCGAAGGCGGCGACCUGGUCCGAUACUGACGCUGAGGCGCGAAAGCGUGGGGAGCAAACAGG